RNAcentral lists this transfer RNA (70 nucleotides) under Loxodonta africana (African savanna elephant). It matches the Rfam family "tRNA". Rfam says of the family: Transfer RNA (tRNA) molecules are approximately 80 nucleotides in length. Their secondary structure includes four short double-helical elements and three loops (D, anti-codon, and T loops). Lineage: Eukaryota; Metazoa; Chordata; Mammalia; Proboscidea; Elephantidae. The record is from Rfam by way of RNAcentral.
GCAAUGGUUGUUCAAUACAGAAUUCUAGCCUUCCAUGCAGGAGACCAGGGUUUGAUCCCCGGCCAGUGCA